CAGAAGCAAUGACGCAUUACUUGACUUCAACAGGUUUACGUCAAAUACAGUGCUCUUUUCCGGAUCACAAGAGAAGCUUAUCCGUAUGAGGACACGUCUCAACUUCUUUCUCGGGUGAUCUCCAGCUAUGGAGCUAACCGAAUAAUGUGGGGAAGUGACUUCCCCUACGUCGUUCCCGAAUGUGGCUACAAGGGAGCAAAGGAGGCAAUCUCUCAUGUCGCUGGCAAGGCAGCUGUUUCGUCUUCAGAUCUGGAGUGGAUUUUAGGCAAAACAGUAAGCCAACUAUUUCAAGGUGCAUGGGUUACUCCAUGAGGGAGAUGUGGCAUGGCAGGCAUGACAGUGUUGCGGCUCAGUUUGGUAUUGUUCAGUUUAGACAUCCUUGUUUGGAAGGGGGAAGGAUCUAUCUAGUUUGGUAUUGUGCAGUUUGACAGUCAUGUUCAAGUGUGUAUCCCUUCUCCAGAGGUUUAAUAAAUUCAAUAGUUCUUCCUA
This is a long non-coding RNA of Triticum dicoccoides, 489 nucleotides long. RefSeq lists it as uncharacterized. NCBI's taxonomy places the organism in Eukaryota, Viridiplantae, Streptophyta, Magnoliopsida, Poales, Poaceae. The transcript has 2 exons. The record is from RefSeq and is a predicted model, not a curated record.